This 449-nucleotide long non-coding RNA is filed under the name Vulpes vulpes (red fox). Its description in RNAcentral is "lncRNA (ENSVVUG00000021252.1)". Lineage: Eukaryota; Metazoa; Chordata; Mammalia; Carnivora; Canidae. The record is from RNAcentral.
AGGGGGGUCCACAUACUCUAUUGCAACCACUCUUUCCUACCAGUCCUUCUUUUCAAGAUAGCAUAUUAGUUCAAGCCUCUCAUAACCUUCCUGUACCAAGCUGGGCUCACAAGCAUGGCAAGGUACCCUUAAGUAUUCCAUAUCAAUGACAGAAUCACUGGCUGCCCGGAGCAGAGAGGGCCACCGUGGAGCUGUCACUUCUUCAAUCAGUUGUGUUUCAACUUUGAUUCAUGAUCCACUUGAAUCUGGAUGUGCUAUCUUGGAUGACACAGAAUGAAAUGCAAGAUAAUAAGAAGGAUACGAAAUGGAUUGUAAAGCUUCUGCUCAGAAGAUUUUAUGUCACCUCUUCUAUUUCACUCAUCAAACCAAGCCAUGUGUCUGAGCUUUGUGGCAACAGGACAGAGACCCAGUACUAGUAACAUGAUAUGGAAUAGAGAUGUAUAAUCCUA